This 275-nucleotide ribosomal RNA is filed under the name uncultured prokaryote. Its description in RNAcentral is "partial 16S ribosomal RNA". It matches the Rfam family "Bacterial small subunit ribosomal RNA", at positions 524 to 798 of the family's 1533-position model. The record is from RNAcentral.
UACGGAGGGUCCGAGCGUUAUCCGGAUUUAUUGGGUUUAAAGGGUGCGCAGGCGGGAGAUUAAGUCGGCGGUGAAAUUUUGCAGCUCAACUGUAAAAGUGCCUUCGAUACUGGUUUCCUUGAGUGUGGAUGAAGUAGGCGGAAUUUGUGGUGUAGCGGUGAAAUGCUUAGAUAUCACGAGGAACUCCGAUUGCGCAGGCAGCUUACUAAACUACUACUGACGCUCAGGCACGAAGGCGUGGGGAUCAAACAGGAUUAGAUACCCCGGUAGUCCCU